This 26-nucleotide non-coding RNA is filed under the name Homo sapiens (human). The record is from RNAcentral. Lineage: Eukaryota; Metazoa; Chordata; Mammalia; Primates; Hominidae.
UGGUGAAGCUCAUGAAGAUUAUGGGA